GAUGGCUGGUAUAGAAUCCUACAUGUUUGGGACUCAGUGAUCGAGAAUCAGGAUUCUCUGAUCACGAGUUCCACACAUUAUGGGUACCGAGGUCAAGAGUCCCACUGGUUGGGACUUUUCGAUCAGGGUUACAUAUCGAUGAAUUUUGAUGCCCGAUUGCCCAUCAAAUUUGGACUCAGUAUUUAUGAGAGGUUUAAUUAGUGAUUUGAUUGCUAAUUAACUCAAUUUGAUUGAGUAAUUAUUUUUGGAUCAAGUCCAAUUGAAUUG
Molecule: long non-coding RNA, 267 nt
Filed under: Elaeis guineensis (African oil palm)
Lineage: Eukaryota; Viridiplantae; Streptophyta; Magnoliopsida; Arecales; Arecaceae
Description: long non-coding RNA (EGUI_LNC082534)
Source: RNAcentral